GCCUACUUAGCUCAGUUGGCAGAGCGUCUGCCUCGUAAGCAGAAGGUCUUCAGUUCGAUUCUGGAAGUGGGCA
Molecule: transfer RNA, 73 nt
Organism: Zancudomyces culisetae
Lineage: Eukaryota; Fungi; Kickxellomycota; Harpellomycetes; Harpellales; Legeriomycetaceae
Rfam family: tRNA
About the family: Transfer RNA (tRNA) molecules are approximately 80 nucleotides in length. Their secondary structure includes four short double-helical elements and three loops (D, anti-codon, and T loops).
Source: Rfam